This 1622-nucleotide long non-coding RNA is filed under the name Sus scrofa (pig). Its description in RNAcentral is "lncRNA (ENSSSCG00050024254.1)". The record is from RNAcentral. Lineage: Eukaryota; Metazoa; Chordata; Mammalia; Artiodactyla; Suidae.
AACAAUUUUUGUGAAAAGUUCACCAGAGGAAAAUCAACAAUAUCUAAAAGCAUUUAUCAACAAAAUGAUGGACAUCAGACAGAAAGAAUCAUUUGGGUUAACAGACACAGAACUGUUUUUGAAUCAAUCUUCAAGUGCCACUCUGAAAGCUAAGAGUAUUGAAGUCCUUGGCUCCUGUGGCCCAUUUAUGCAAGGGUAAUUGGAGUUUUCUCUAAAAUAUUUGUUCUAGUUAUUUUUCAUAGCUUGAAUACCCAUAUCUCAUCAGGAACAAAAGAUUUCUAACAUCAAAUAUGCUAAUUAACAAACAUGGCUUGCUGAUCCCCAAAAAAUAUAACCACAGAGCUAAAGCCUGUUGAGUCUUUGUCUCUGGAGUAUGGAGUCAUUUAAACAGUCUUGUUUUUACAAGCAGGCACACUGACCACUCCUAGGUUGUAAAUUAGUACUAACACAUACACAAGUACAUUGUACUUUGCUCAAGGGCUUUAAAGAAAUGACAGAUUAUAUAACAACUUCCCAGAAGAAAUUCUAUGAUCAGCUGCAAUUUUUUUCAUUUCAUUUUAACUAUUUUAGUUUAUUCCUCUAUGGAGUCACAACUUGUGUGCCUAAAAUGAGUCAGUCUUAAAAGGAAAAGCAACCUUUCAAUGGGUCCAGCAGUGAUAGGUAGAAAAGUCUCUGUGGAGCAAAAAGAACUGGGAUGUAUAGCAGUAAUGUGUAUUCCACAAAUUACUGAGAUUUUUGUGAGAUUGCACUGAGCCUAGAAGAAAGAGGAAAUGGUGUAACAAAGUACAUCUUAUAAUCAAAUGGAAGAAAUGAAUUAUCUAUUUUUUGACCAAAAUAUUAUCAAUUCCUGUAUCAUAGCAAUAAGUAAAGCUUACUUCAGCUCGCUUAUUAAUUCUAUCCUGAAUUAAUAGUCUGUUUGGUGGUGUAAAAGCCACCAUGGCCAUUGUUUGAAGCUUCUAACAGAGCACAAGGAAGCUUGAAAAUAUUGUUUUCUUUUUUCUUUUUUUUCAGGGCUGCACUUGUGGCAUAUGGAGGUUCCUAGGCUAGGGACCCAGCCAGUGGCUACGGCUCCAAUUGGACCCCGAGCCUGGGAACCUCAAAAAAGCAAAAAGACAAUAAAAUAAAAUAAAAUAAAAUAUUUACUUUUUUUCAUUAUUUAUCCUUCCUUAUUUUUGUAUUAAUAGCCAGAAACAUAAUCUAAUAAUCUGGUAGCAUUUACAGCAAUGUAAAAACUUGGAAGCUUGGAUUCACCAAACUCACAAACAUAAGGCAAAUAUUUCCUCCUCUGUGUUAUGUUGUUGCCCCACCAAGUGAUUAGUGAUUCACUGAGUUAAACUUUUCACGUGUAAACCUUUAAGAGAAAGAAGAAAAGUAAUUAUCUUAACAUAAUUUAAAAGUUAAAAUUAUAUAUUAAAUAUAAUCAUAGUACAAAUAAAGUAAAUAUUAAAUUUUUAAACAUGCAAAUAGUUUCUGAAGUUGUUCUUGGUGCUAAAGAGACAUUGAAUAAUAAUAUUAAAUGUGCCCUGCCAUCAAAGAGGCAACACUCUAAAAUGGAGGGUGAUGAACAAUAAACAAGCAAAUAACAAUAUUAAGUCAUAUUUUGGUAAAAGUUUCAAAGGAAA